ACGCCGGAGAGGAAAACGGGACCUGACGCUCCGCCUGGCGCGAUUCCUCCUUCUCCUCCUCCUCAGCCGAAGGCGCCGGUCGCUCCUGCCUUGGAGAGCGAGCUUCGGAAAGGAGGAUGAACGAGGGUGAACAGGGCGGCCGGGGACCCAAAGGGGGGACCCCUUCAGUCCUUCGCCAUUCACUUUCCCCUGUAGCCUCACACCCCCCUUUAUAUUCCGUUUCACUUGGGGUGCGGGGCAGGAGGGAGGGGGAGAGCGCAGGAGGGGGAGGAAAAGCGAGAAAUGCCCACCUUCUCCGGCCAACUCCGAAGCCGCCUCAGCCCCCUCCUCCCGCCGCGGCGGCCGCUGCAAAGCCCUCCCGGCCGCUCUGCACGGAGGCAGCGCCGAGCAAGUGUCGCCUUCCCCUCGCCACCCCCGGGGCCGCCGCCGCAGGCGAGCCCCGAGCUCAGUGUCGCUCAAACCUCCCCUCCCGGCCCCGCUCGGCCCUCCCCCCGCGCCCCGCAGACCCUUUCAAACCCCCUGGGCUCGCGGCGGCUGCUCGGUGAGGAAACGCUGGCCGCGGCUGGGGCCGGGGCGACGCGGCUGCGAGCGGGGCGGCGGCGGGGCGCCCGGUACGGUGAGCCCAGCAACGAGGCGCGGGCGGGCGCGCAGAGACGCCGGGUCCUCGCGGAGCACGGCCGGGGCGCGGCGGCGGCGGUGGCAGCGGGAGCCCAGGGACCGCUCCAUCACUGGCAGCCAUGGAGCCCGAGCAUUUUCCUCCCUCAGGGCAGGCGCCUCGGCUCGGCACACGUCCUCGGGGAGGAAGGGGCCGGCGCCCGAGCCUCCCCGGAGGGCGGCGGGACGUGCGCUAGGGCGGAGGGUGCGACCCUCUCUUGUCCUCUUCCUCCGCAGCCGGCUCUUCCUCACCCCGCUGCUCCCGCGACCGAGCGGGAGGGGGCCGCAGGCGGCGGCGGCUCCUUUCUCGGCGGCGUUGGUGGCCAGACGGGCUGGUGCAGCGACUGCAGCCGACGCCGUUCAAAGGAACGAGAGCAACAGCAUCACGAGUUUCAGUUCCCAGGAGCCCGCCGCCGCCGCCGCCGCUGCCACGACAUGAGUCAGGCUUUCUUCCCCGGCGCGUGGCGGAAACCUCCUCCCCCUCGCCGCACCUGGGCUCGCCCCCGGCCCUCGCCUCCUCGGGGGAUGCCCCAGCGCCGGGAGCUGCGGGGUCUACGGAAGGCCGGUGGCUCCCAGUGAUAGGUGUUGUCUUUUGUGCAGUGCGGUUGCUGCCAUGCGGUCUCCUCGCCCUUCCACGGGCAGGGGCGAGGCAGCCGGACAGAUGUUGCAGCUGUUUUCAGUUAACUGCUUUAGCUCCUCUGGGGUAGGCUCUUCUCUAACGAGGAGUGGUUGCAAUGCAUCCUUAACUGGAGGACGGAGGCAGGCCGGCCCUGUAAACGACUGAUCUCAACAGGUGUCUCCAAGCAGCGACGCCUUUUUCGUUCAUUGUCCUGGCUAUAUCCCCAUUGGUUUGACUCAAGAGGCAAGGUGGCCCGGACAUGUGAGCAACACAAAUGAUAAGCAUGCCUUUUAGGGCUAGAAAAGAAAAAGCCAUCCGAAAUUCCAGUUUUAAAACACACACCCACACAUAUUACAUUUCAUGGGUCCGACUAUAGUUCUACAGAAGCAAUGUUAGGUUUGAUUGGGGGCAAUUUACUGGCAGUUACUUUAUUGGCAUUUCAUGUCAAAACCUAGUUCUAAGCAUUUCUUACCAAUAAUCGAGAAUGUCCGUCUCUCCCAGGAAUUUAAAAAUGAUAAAGCAAGCCAAAAAGCUGUAGGGAGGAAUUUUCAUUUUGUUAAAUUUAGGUUAGGGGAAUCGGCGCUUAUGGUUAGACCUCUGAUUCAGGAAAUCUCACGGAUUUACAUUCCUAUUUCAGAAGAUUGUUAAAGCAAAAACGAUUGUCAUUUGCAGUUUUGAUACACCUCUAGUUGUCAAUUCAACUUUUUACCUUUAGUUUUCGCUGAACUCUUCCCCUUGCUCCAAGGGGAAGCCUUCAAAAAGUGAAUUAUAUCACCUUUUGCAUGUUAUUGAAUAGAAGUGCACCCUCAACAUCCCGUCUAUCAGCUAUCAAAGCUAUGAUACAUUGUUGCUUUAUCUGGGGUCUCCUACACUGAAAAGAAAAACUGGGGCUUAAUAUAUUUAUUUUUAUUUACUUUAUAUUGCUAAUGUAAACCUCUGCUAGAAGUAAAUAGGCUCUCA
Molecule: long non-coding RNA, 2233 nt
Filed under: Theropithecus gelada (gelada)
Lineage: Eukaryota; Metazoa; Chordata; Mammalia; Primates; Cercopithecidae
Description: lncRNA (ENSTGEG00000001851.1)
Source: RNAcentral